RNAcentral lists this ribosomal RNA (579 nucleotides) under uncultured bacterium. RNAcentral describes it as "bacterial SSU rRNA". It matches the Rfam family "Bacterial small subunit ribosomal RNA", at positions 8 to 615 of the family's 1533-position model. The record is from RNAcentral.
AGAGUUUGAUCCUGGCUCAGAACGAACGCUGGCGGCAUGCCUAACACAUGCAAGUCGGACGCUCCUUGGGGUUUCGGCCUCUGGGGGAGUGGCGGACGGGCGAGUAGCGCGUGGGAACCUGCCCCUUUGUGGGGGAUAACCGAGGGAAACUUCGGCUAAUACCGCAUGCGCCGGGAGCGAUCCCGGGAAAGAUUUAUCGCAGAGGGAGGGGCCCGCGUCGGAUUAGGUAGUUGGUGGGGUAACAGCCUACCAAGCCUUUGAUCCGUAGCUGGUCUGAGAGGAUGAUCAGCCACACUGGGACUGAGACACGGCCCAGACUCCUACGGGAGGCAGCAGUGGGGAAUAUUGGACAAUGGGCGCAAGCCUGAUCCAGCAAUGCCGCGUGAGUGAUGAAGGCCUUAGGGUUGUAAAGCUCUUUCGCCCGCGACGAUGAUGACGGUAGCGGGAGAAGAAGCCCCGGCUAACUUCGUGCCAGCAGCCGCGGUAAUACGAAGGGGGCGAGCGUUGUUCGGAUUUACUGGGCGUAAAGGGCGCGUAGGCGGCGGCCCAAGUCGAGUGUGAAAGCCCCGGGCUCAACCU